This 72-nucleotide transfer RNA is filed under the name Urocitellus parryii (Arctic ground squirrel). Its description in RNAcentral is "Spermophilus parryii (Arctic ground squirrel) tRNA". It matches the Rfam family "tRNA". Rfam says of the family: Transfer RNA (tRNA) molecules are approximately 80 nucleotides in length. Their secondary structure includes four short double-helical elements and three loops (D, anti-codon, and T loops). The record is from Rfam by way of RNAcentral. Lineage: Eukaryota; Metazoa; Chordata; Mammalia; Rodentia; Sciuridae. RNAcentral also lists the same sequence under 1 other name.
AGAGUUGUAGCUCAGUGGUAGAGCAUUUGCCUCGCAUGCAUGAGGCACUGGGUUCGAACCUCAGAACCUCAU